RNAcentral lists this ribosomal RNA (462 nucleotides) under uncultured bacterium. Its description in RNAcentral is "partial 16S ribosomal RNA". It matches the Rfam family "Bacterial small subunit ribosomal RNA", at positions 28 to 507 of the family's 1533-position model. The record is from RNAcentral.
GAUAAACGCUGGCGGCGUGCUUAACACAUGCAAGUCGAACGAAGUUUUUCUUUCGGGAGGAACUUAGUGGCGGACGGGUGAGUAACGCGUGGGUAACCUGCCCUGUACAGGGGGACAACAGCUGGAAACGGCUGCUAAUACCGCAUAAGCCCUUAGCACUGCAUGGUGCAUAGGGAAAAGGAGCAAUCCGGUACAGGAUGGACCCGCGUCUGAUUAGCCAGUUGGCAGGGUAACGGCCUACCAAAGCGACGAUCAGUAGCCGAUCUGAGAGGAUGUACGGCCACAUUGGGACUGAGACACGGCCCAGACUCCUACGGGAGGCAGCAGUGGGGAAUAUUGCACAAUGGAGGAAACUCUGAUGCAGCGACGCCGCGUGAGUGAAGAAGUAUUUCGGUAUGUAAAGCGCUAUCAGCAGGAAAGAAAAUGACGGUACCUGACUAAGAAGCACCGGCUAAAUACGUG